RNAcentral lists this ribosomal RNA (450 nucleotides) under uncultured bacterium. Its description in RNAcentral is "partial 16S ribosomal RNA". It matches the Rfam family "Bacterial small subunit ribosomal RNA", at positions 354 to 796 of the family's 1533-position model. The record is from RNAcentral.
GUGGGGAAUUUUGGACAAUGGGCGCAAGCCUGAUCCAGCAAUGCCGCGUGCAGGAAGAAGGCCUUCGGGUUGUAAACUGCUUUUGUACGGAACGAAACGGUCCGGGUUAAUACCCUGGGCUAAUGACGGUACCGUAAGAAUAAGCACCGGCUAACUACGUGCCAGCAGCCGCGGUAAUACGUAGGGUGCAAGCGUUAAUCGGAAUUACUGGGCGUAAAGCGUGCGCAGGCGGUUUUGUAAGACAGGCGUGAAAUCCCCGGGCUCAACCUGGGAAUUGCGCUUGUGACUGCAGUGCUGGAGUACGGCAGAGGGGGAUGGAAUUCCGCGUGUAGCAGUGAAAUGCGUAGAUAUGCGGAGGAACACCGAUGGCGAAGGCAGUCCCCUGGGCCUGUACUGACGCUCAUGCACGAAAGCGUGGGGAGCAAACAGGAUUAGAUACCCUGGUAGUCC